AUACGUAGGGUGCAAGCGUUAAUCGGAAUUACUGGGCGUAAAGCGUGCGCAGGCGGUUUUGUAAGACAGUGGUGAAAUCCCCGGGCUCAACCUGGGAACUGCCAUUGUGACUGCAAGGCUGGAGUGCGGCAGCGGGGGAUGGAAUUCCGCGUGUAGCAGUGGAAUGCGUAGGUAUGCGGAGGAACACCGAUGGCGAAGGCAAUCCCCUGGGCCUGCACUGACGCUCAUGCACGAAAGCGUGGGGAGCAAACAGGAUUAGAUACCCUGGUAGUCCACGCCCUAAACGAUGUCAACUGGUUGUUGGGGAUUUAUUUUCUCAGUAACGAAGCUAACGCGUGAAGUUGACCGCCUGGGGAGUACGGCCGCAAGGUUAAAACUCAAAGGAAUUGACGGGG
This 395-nucleotide ribosomal RNA is filed under the name uncultured bacterium. RNAcentral's name for it is "partial 16S ribosomal RNA". It matches the Rfam family "Bacterial small subunit ribosomal RNA", at positions 523 to 918 of the family's 1533-position model. The record is from RNAcentral.